This 422-nucleotide ribosomal RNA is filed under the name uncultured Flavisolibacter sp. Its description in RNAcentral is "bacterial SSU rRNA". It matches the Rfam family "Bacterial small subunit ribosomal RNA", at positions 355 to 774 of the family's 1533-position model. The record is from RNAcentral. Lineage: Bacteria; Pseudomonadati; Bacteroidota; Chitinophagia; Chitinophagales; Chitinophagaceae.
UAAGGAAUAUUGGUCAAUGGACGCAAGUCUGAACCAGCCAUGCCGCGUGAAGGAUGAAGGUCCUCUGGAUUGUAAACUUCUUUUAUAGGGGAAGAAACCGGGAAAUUCUUUUUCCGUUGACGGUACCCUGGGAAUAAGCACCGGCUAACUCCGUGCCAGCAGCCGCGGUAAUACGGAGGGUGCAAGCGUUAUCCGGAUUCACUGGGUUUAAAGGGUGCGUAGGUGGGUUUGUAAGUCAGUGGUGAAAUCUCCAAGCUUAACUUGGAAACUGCCGUUGAUACUAUAGAUCUUGAAUGCUGUGGAGGUGAGCGGAAUAUGUCAUGUAGCGGUGAAAUGCUUAGAUAUGACAUAGAACACCAAUUGCGAAGGCAGCUCACUACCCAGAUAUUGACACUGAGGCACGAAAGCGUGGGGAUCAAACA